UCCCUGGUGGUCUAAUGGUUAAGACUCCACACUCCCAAUGCAGGGACAUGGGUUCAAUCCCUGGUUGGGGAA
This 72-nucleotide transfer RNA is filed under the name Bos taurus (domestic cattle). It matches the Rfam family "tRNA". Rfam says of the family: Transfer RNA (tRNA) molecules are approximately 80 nucleotides in length. Their secondary structure includes four short double-helical elements and three loops (D, anti-codon, and T loops). The record is from Rfam by way of RNAcentral. RNAcentral also lists the same sequence under 5 other names. Lineage: Eukaryota; Metazoa; Chordata; Mammalia; Artiodactyla; Bovidae.